Molecule: ribosomal RNA, 253 nt
Filed under: uncultured bacterium
Lineage: Bacteria
Description: partial 16S ribosomal RNA
Rfam family: Bacterial small subunit ribosomal RNA
Source: RNAcentral
UACGGAGGAUGCAAGCGUUAUCCGGAAUGAUUGGGCGUAAAGCGUCCGCAGGUGGCUGUGUAAGUCUGCUGUUAAAGAGUCUAGCUCAACUAGAUAAAAGCAGUGGAAACUACACGGCUAGAGUACGUUCGGGGCAGAGGGAAUUCCUGGUGUAGCGGUGAAAUGCGUAGAGAUCAGGAAGAACACCGGUGGCGAAGGCGCUCUGCUAGGCCGUAACUGACACUGAGGGACGAAAGCUAGGGGAGCGAAUGGG